Molecule: non-coding RNA, 576 nt
Organism: Poecile atricapillus (Black-capped chickadee)
Lineage: Eukaryota; Metazoa; Chordata; Aves; Passeriformes; Paridae
Source: the annotation of a RefSeq genome assembly
AUGUUCAGGAUCCACCAGAGACCCAGGAAGGCGCUGGAAUUUGUCACAGGGAUCAGCAGCGAUCGUGGAGACACCGAGUACACGCUGGGACCUCAGCACCUGGAGCUGCAUCCGGAACCUCAGCCCCUUCAGGAAGUCCGGGCGGCCGUGACCCUGCUGGAGUCCGGGGGGGACCUCCAGCCCCCCGGGGGGUCCCUGCGCCUCCUCUGCCGUGGGACUGGAUUUGAUUUUGGGAAUUUUGCGAUGUUCUGGAUCCGCCAGAAACCCGGGAAGGGGCUGGAAUUCGUCGCGAGCAUCUACGGUGAUGGUGGCACCACCAACUACGCGCCGUCCGUGCGUGGCCGGUUCAGGAUCUCCAAGGACAACGGGCAGAGCUCGGUGACGCUGAGCAUGAACAACCUCCAGGACGAGGAUUCCGGGGUUUAUUUCUGUGCCAAACGUUUCGAGGAUGGUUUUGCUGCUGUUGCUGCUCGUGUUGGUUUCCCCUCCCUUGGGCCGGGACCCUUGGCCAGAAAAUCCCUCUGGCCCCAAACCUGUCCCCGGCACCAAACCUGCGCCAGCGGCACCAAAUCCUGA